AGGAGUGGGUGAGCGGCUCACGGCUUCGUGCUGAGGAAACUCCUCCCUCACUCCCGAGCCAGGUGCGUAAAAGCUGGGGCGAGAGCCCCACCUGGGGCGCAGAAACGACACAGCCCGGUGCCAGGGUGACUCCCGCGGGGAUGACGGUGCAUCGGGAUUUGGUGAAACGGCCCCUUCCUGGAGCAAGUCCAAAUACCGGGAUCGGUUGCUCGGGACCGCUCGGAGGUAGGACGCCAAGGUGAAUGCCGCCUAAAACAGAAGGAGGGUUACGGCCCACACCU
This 281-nucleotide RNase P RNA is filed under the name Thermoplasmatales archaeon. RNAcentral's name for it is "RNase P RNA component". It matches the Rfam family "Archaeal RNase P". Rfam says of the family: Ribonuclease P (RNase P) is a ubiquitous endoribonuclease, found in archaea, bacteria and eukarya as well as chloroplasts and mitochondria. Its best characterised activity is the generation of mature 5'-ends of tRNAs by cleaving the 5'-leader elements of precursor-tRNAs. Cellular RNase Ps are ribonucleoproteins. RNAcentral also lists the same sequence under 1 other name. The record is from RNAcentral. Lineage: Archaea; Methanobacteriati; Thermoplasmatota; Thermoplasmata; Thermoplasmatales.